CGUAGGCUGUUAUAUAAGUCAGUGGUGAAAUAUUCGGGCUCANCCGGGAUACUGCCAUUGAUACUGUAUAGCUGGAAUAUGGUUGCUGUGGGUGGAAUGUGUGGUGUAGCGGUGAAAUGCAUAGAUAUCACACAGAAUAUCGAUUGCGAAGGCAACUCACAAAGCCAUUAUUGACGCUGAUGCACGAAAGUGUGGGGAUCAAACAGGAUUAGAUACCCUGGUAGUCCACACUGUAAACGAUGAUAACUAGCUGUCGGCGAUAGAUAGUCGGUGGCUAAGCGAAAGCGAUAAGUUAUCCACCUGGGGAGUACGACCGCAAGGUUGAAACUCAAAGGAAUUGACGGGGGCCCGCACAAGCGGAGGAACAUGUGGUUUAAUUCGAUGAUACGCGAGGAACCUUACCCGGGCUCGAACGGUGCAGGAAUAUGGUAGAGAUAUCAUAGCUAGCAAUAGUCUGUAUCGAGGUGCUGCAUGGUUGUCGUCAGCUCGUGCCGUGAGGUGUCGGCUUAAGUGCCAUAACGAGCGCAACCCUUGUCGUUAGUUACCAUCAAGUAAAGUUGGGGACUCUAGCGAGACUGCCACCGUAAGGUGUGAGGAAGGGGGGGAUGACGUCAAAUCAGCACGGCCCUUACGUCCGGGGCGACACACGUGUUACAAUGGUAGGUACAGAGGGGCGCUAUCCAGUGAUGGAGUGCGAAUCUCAAAAACCUAUCUCAGUUCGGAUUGGAGUCUGCAACUCGACUCCAUGAAGUUGGAUUCGCUAGUAAUCGCGCAUCAGCCAUGGCGCGGUGAAUACGUUCCCGGGCCUUGUACACACCGCCCGUCAAGCCAUGGAAGCCGGGGGUGCCUGAAGUUCGUGACCGCAAGGAGCGACCUAGGGCAAAACUGGUAACUGGGGCU
RNAcentral lists this ribosomal RNA (900 nucleotides) under uncultured Parabacteroides sp. RNAcentral describes it as "bacterial SSU rRNA". It matches the Rfam family "Bacterial small subunit ribosomal RNA", at positions 570 to 1482 of the family's 1533-position model. The record is from RNAcentral. Lineage: Bacteria; Pseudomonadati; Bacteroidota; Bacteroidia; Bacteroidales; Tannerellaceae.